AUUUGGCGGUGCGCAGGCGCAGUUGCUGCGGCUCCUGAAAUCCUCCGGUGUGAACUCCCAGGGCUGUUGAUGCUUCAUCUACUCUUCUGGCAGUGGGGGCCUGGACCUUAGUUACCCGGGGAGCGUGAGUCAUGUUGCACAGUUGAGCUGGCACAUAAAACUGCGAGUCACACCAGAAGAGGGCAUUGGAUCCCACUAUAGACUGUUGUGAGCCACCUUGUAGUUGCUGGGAAUUGAACUCAGAAACUCUGGAAGAGCAGUUGAUGCUCUUAACUGCUGAGUCAUCUCUCCAGCCCCAGUUUAUAGAACAAGGAAUUGGAGCUUGGAGAAGAUUGAUGGACCACUCAAGUUCCCUGGAUGGUCCAGGAUUCAGACUGAGGAUGGCC
This 386-nucleotide long non-coding RNA is filed under the name Mus caroli (Ryukyu mouse). RNAcentral's name for it is "lncRNA (MGP_CAROLIEiJ_G0003425.1)". Lineage: Eukaryota; Metazoa; Chordata; Mammalia; Rodentia; Muridae. The record is from RNAcentral.